UGCUGGGUAUGAGGAUGUGGAGUGUCCCCAGUUGUCCCUUUAUGGGACAUCUGUAGACACCUCAUACCCAAGGCUCUUGCCAGAAUAUUCCAGCUACCUGGUAUUUUCUGACUACUGUGGGGAGGGUGUGAGGAGACAUCAGUCCACGAUGCCUUGUUUACCAGGAUCUCGCCAUGAGGACCUGUGGCAUCUGCUGUCCUUGUUGACACCUGCCUGUGACUGCCCGGAGCUGUGGCAGCUAUGUUGGGACCAUGAGGGGGUUAGUCUGGGCAGGACACACUGAGGAUGAUAGAGCAGAAAGAUGGAAGCCGCCUGCUCCUUGACGACAGCGCUGAGCCACUGAACGAACCAGCUCCGGAGCCUCCCCACGCGGGACUUCUCGUUACAACGAUGUGGUCUGCCCAACAGAGUCACUUCCCAAACAGCAGGAACAUAUGGAGAGUCCGAGAGCUGAAGGCAUGAGAAACCCGAUAAAGCCAUUCCAGCCCCAAAUGUCCGAAACGAAAUGAACGUGAACUUCGCCAUGUGAAAUAUGAUUUGGGCAUGUUUGAAUACGCUCAAACUUGAUACAAAGAAACAACAGUCCUUGGUCGUUUUAGAGAGUGCUAACUCAACCUCAGAGGAUGGUUCUGACGGGAAAAUAUGAAGAGAGCCCAUGUCCACAUGCGGUCGGUGGCAUUUAUUCACUAACUCAUUGAAAAAUGACCCCCAGCCCUUCUGUCGUUUCAUGAGAUGCA
This is a long non-coding RNA of Ailuropoda melanoleuca (giant panda), 737 nucleotides long. RefSeq lists it as uncharacterized. NCBI's taxonomy places the organism in Eukaryota, Metazoa, Chordata, Mammalia, Carnivora, Ursidae. The record is from RefSeq and is a predicted model, not a curated record. The transcript has 3 exons.